RNAcentral lists this ribosomal RNA (83 nucleotides) under Gemmatimonadota bacterium. The record is from RNAcentral. RNAcentral also lists the same sequence under 1 other name. Lineage: Bacteria; Pseudomonadati; Gemmatimonadota.
UCCCAUCCCGAACCCGGUAGUUAAGCCCCUCAGCGCCGAUGGUACUGCGGCUUCUGUCGUGGGAGAGUAGGUCACCGCCGGCU